UAGUACGAGUGUAGUAUGAUUCUUGAUUGCUGAUGUAAGUCUGAAGUAUGCCAGAUGUUUCUCUGCUGAAUAUUUUGCUUGCACUAUCUAGUUUACCAGUCUCUCAAUGAAACUCGGUAGGAGUUGUUCAUUCCGUAGAAUCAUGCAUCUUCCUUUUCUCUCUUGUUACCUUUAUGAAGUGAGAGAGAGAGAGAUCCUUUUCUGGAGAGUGUUUUAUUCUUAUCUGUCCUUGUUUCUCUAAUGCGGCAUCUCUGUAGUGUAAUUCUGUGAUAAGAGUCUUACACAGGAAAAAAAAAAGCAAUCAAUAUAAACACCAAAUCCUGCUGAAGUGGAAGAUGUGUUUCCUUCUCAAAGGUACUUCUGUUGCAAUUUUGUUUUAAUUUCCUUUGAAGAACAUAUCAGUGCUUGAAUUUUUUGUCCAGGAUGAGAACUAGAUUCUUCAAGAGGGUGAAAAGUAUUUGAACUACUUUUUACUAGAGAUCAGGAAAUAAGGAUUAGUAAUUAUCACAUUGUAGCUGCCAAAAUCUUGAUCAGAGCCACAUCUGUAACUUACACCAAAUGCCCUGUUUUUUUUAUGUCUUUUAAGAUUUAUGCAUGUUGUUUGGGGUUUACGCAGCUCCUGGAAACUCUUGCGCAGAGCUGGCUCAGUUUCUCAUUUUGUAGAAAACUUCCUAGUGAGUUGUUUUGGGUGUUACAUGCAAAGAUGGAAGUGCAAAAGUAUCAGGCAACUCUUUAUUCCACCAUAUGAGAUUAAUUCGGCUUAUGCGACUUAAACCCACCAUAGUUCCUACAGGUGAAAACUAGGGAACCCUUCCCAUUGAGAAUAUGUUGGGAUUGAGAUUUACUUGUUAAAGGACACAAUGAUUUCAUAGAGCCAUGAAUUAAACUUUGUUUGACAUCAAAACCCCUUUUACCAAUCUCUUAACUGCACUUUGUUUGACACGAAACUGCAUAUAUUAUAUCUGAAACAAACUGUCUGAUAUCACUCUGCUUCAAAGGUGUAAGAUUAGUUGGUGGAUAAACAACAGAUGGAGAUGAGUAAUCUUUUCAAGGGAGCCCCCAGAAAAAGCUGUGGAGGACACACUCAGGACCAUAGUGAAAUCAAUGGUAAAUUAAGUUCUUGUGGUCAUACUUAGCUUACGUGUUGAGUUGAGCUCUCAUUUUUUAAGAUUGUAACCUCUCUCUAUCUAUGCUUAACUAGAUUCAAAGGUCGGUCUUUGUUAAUUAAUAUAAAGCCGCAUAUAUCAUUCUGUUUAUUUCUUCUCGUUGCCUCAUUACAACAUAACAUGUGUGAAGAGUUUACAAAUACCAAGAAUGUUUUGAUAUAAGAACUAACUGACUUACAAAUAUGAAGAAGUUCGACUACUGUC
Molecule: long non-coding RNA, 1370 nt
Filed under: Capsella grandiflora
Lineage: Eukaryota; Viridiplantae; Streptophyta; Magnoliopsida; Brassicales; Brassicaceae
Description: long non-coding RNA (CGRA_LNC001481)
Source: RNAcentral